This 291-nucleotide long non-coding RNA is filed under the name Brassica napus (rape). RNAcentral's name for it is "long non-coding RNA (BNAP_LNC005926)". The record is from RNAcentral. Lineage: Eukaryota; Viridiplantae; Streptophyta; Magnoliopsida; Brassicales; Brassicaceae.
UAAACGCCGCUUAGACCGUAUUAUAGAACACUGAAAGAAACCAAAUUAGAAUCCUCUAAGAAGUCCAUGCUUGUCCUCUCUCGUCAAACAAAAUCAAUUUCAUACGGAGUAGUUUUAACGUCUCUUUCAACUUUUCAAACACAGCUUCUCAAUUCACUUUGUUUAGCUUAUAAACUUUGGAACCUCUAACAAAAGGUCAAAAUCUUAAAAAGUCUUGGUCUCGGUUUAAAGAAAGUAACGCAGAACUGGGAGAUGCGGUACCAGUAAUCAUCGUGAUAUACAAGUGUCAAU